AUUGAACGCUGGCGGCGCGCCUAAUACAUGCAAGUCGAGCGAGAAGGUGUAGCAAUACACUUGUAAAGCGGCGAACGGGUGAGGAAUGCAUGGGUAACCUACCCUCGAGUGGGGAAUAACUAGCCGAAAGGUUAGCUAAUACCGCAUACGUUUCCGGAACUUCGGUUUCGGAAAGAAAGCAAUACCGUGGGUAUUGCGCUCCUGGAUGGGCUCAUGUCCUAUCAGCUUGUUGGUGAGGUAACGGCUCACCAAGGCUUCGACGGGUAGCUGGUCUGAGAGGACGAUCAGCCACACUGGCACUGCGACACGGGCCAGACUCCUACGGAGGCAGCAGUAAGGGAAUAUU
This 346-nucleotide ribosomal RNA is filed under the name uncultured bacterium. Its description in RNAcentral is "bacterial SSU rRNA". It matches the Rfam family "Bacterial small subunit ribosomal RNA", at positions 30 to 365 of the family's 1533-position model. The record is from RNAcentral.